CUCGACUUCAGGAGACUAAUAUAUAUGACGCAGAGGAAUAAAAGUCAUUAUUUUUAUUUAUUUUUGCCAAUAGGCGCAUCUGACACCAAGGACAAAACCAACUUUGGAAACAAGCUACAGACUUCUAUAAGAUUUUAACCACUUUAUGUGGUUUGGCAAAUACAUUAAGAGCGUGGUUCCUAUUUCCUUUUAAAUAUUCGAUAAAAGACACUGAUUGUGAUUUCCUGGAAUGUCAGUUAUGACUAUUGUCUGUAGAAGAAUCCAAUCGGUGACCUUUUCAGGUGGCCCAAUUGUCUGUGAUAAAACAUUGCAUACAGAAGAGGAGAAGGCAAUAAUUGAAACUGGCUCCUUGCGUAAUUAGCUCCUGUCGAUCUCAACAGCGGACCUAAUAUUUGAUCUCUUACUUUCCUUCUACCCAAGGCAACAGAACCACUGUGCCAGUCAGCCACCAUAACGAUUGCAAAUGUUGCAUCUGUGGUAUAACUCAGAAAGAGGGGGUAGGGUUUCACUUCAAAUGACCACAUGUGUUAAUGCAACAGAUGCAGUUCACAAACAAGUGCCUAAUGCCAACAGUACAGACAUCUCUGACCCCACAUGCUCCACCAUGACACACACACCCUUAGAAUCAUAUGUCGAUUUAAAAGCCACAAUGGUAACAGCUGCACAGAAGUGGGUCAACAACUGAACUGGCAGCAAAAAUAUGAUCAUUGUGGUGCUGAAAUUAUUUGAUAUAAUCAUCUAAAAAUUUCGGGAAACAAAGAAUUUAUCUUAAUUCUUAACUCUUAGCCUUAUCCAACUAUAGAAUUCACCUCUACAAAAAAAAAAAAAGAAAGAUCAAAGAACAGAACCAGAAUAUAUUUGAUCUACAGCAAAAUGCAUGCUGAGGCACAUGCUGGCCAUCACAAUCCUGCUGGGUCUGUUAUCAGUCUGUUCAAACUGGGAUUGUGAAUGUCAGUCACCAAAAAAUCUACUGCAAUUUCCUAAGGCUACACACUGACUUUUUAUGUGAGGGUUACAUAUACAGUACAGGCAACUUUUUUUUUUCUUGGGACUGUCAGACAACAAAUAUAGUAAGACACAUAUAGGGUGAAAAAAAAGGUGCGUGAAAGGUGCAGGAUCAGGGGCGUAACUACAAUAGCGGCUGACCAGGCGACUGCUGUGGGGCCCAGGGCAAGAGGGGGCCCAGUCAUAGUUGGGAUCAUCUCCUCUUCUACUGGAGGUGGAAACUUGAAAGCUUGGUCAGGAAUCUACCCUCUA
Bufo gargarizans (Asiatic toad) is the source of this 1257-nucleotide long non-coding RNA. RefSeq lists it as uncharacterized. Lineage: Eukaryota; Metazoa; Chordata; Amphibia; Anura; Bufonidae. The transcript has 3 exons. The record is from RefSeq and is a predicted model, not a curated record.